CCUGCCCCGCCUCGGCCCGCCAUGUCGUGCGUGCUGAGUCGGUGGGGUUGGGUGCCGUCCGGAAUGAUGAGGAAGACAGCCAGGAAGCAGAUGAGAAGAUGAAGAAGGCAAUAAAGGGAGAAAGAUGAAAGUCAGAGCUGAGAUAUGUCAACGUGGUCACACUGGAUCUCACAUUUUCUGCAGAGACCAGGAAACAGUAUUCUCAUCUGAGCAUCUUUGUGGAAAUUUUGAUUAAAUUGAAGCCACAUUAAGCUGUCACACAAGUUUUACUCAACAAUGGACAUCUAAUUGUCACUGAGAGAAGAC
This 306-nucleotide long non-coding RNA is filed under the name Gallus gallus (chicken). RNAcentral describes it as "long non-coding RNA NONGGAT004306". The record is from RNAcentral. Lineage: Eukaryota; Metazoa; Chordata; Aves; Galliformes; Phasianidae.